Molecule: ribosomal RNA, 484 nt
Filed under: uncultured bacterium
Lineage: Bacteria
Description: partial 16S ribosomal RNA
Rfam family: Bacterial small subunit ribosomal RNA
Source: RNAcentral
AUUGAACGCUGGCGGCGGGCCUAACACAUGCAAGUCGAGCGGAUGAAGGGAGCUUGCUCCUGGAUUCAGCGGCGGACGGGUGAGUAAUGCCUAGGAAUCUGCCUGGUAGUGGGGGAUAACGUCCGGAAACGGGCGCUAAUACCGCAUACGUCCUGAGGGAGAAAGUGGGGGAUCUUCGGACCUCACGCCAUCAGAUGAGCCUAGGUCGGAUUAGCUAGUUGGUGGGGUAAAGGCCUACCAAGGCGACGAUCCGUAACUGGUCUGAGAGGAUGAUCAGUCACACUGGAACUGAGACACGGUCCAGACUCCUACGGGAGGCAGCAGUGGGGAAUAUUGGACAAUGGGCGAAAGCCUGAUCCAGCCAUGCCGCGUGUGUGAAGAAGGUCUUCGGAUUGUAAAGCACUUUAAGUUGGGAGGAAGGGCAGUAAGUUAAUACCUUGCUGUUUUGACGUUACCAACAGAAUAAGCACCGGCUAACUUCGUG